Molecule: non-coding RNA, 212 nt
Organism: Pelobates cultripes (western spadefoot toad)
Lineage: Eukaryota; Metazoa; Chordata; Amphibia; Anura; Pelobatidae
Source: the annotation of a GenBank genome assembly
GUGAGGCAUGGGAGGUGCGGGCGGACAGGAAGAUGAGCCUCGCUGACGCAUUCAUUAUGGACUGUAACGGCGCAAGUUGGGAGAAUGUAAGACCACUGAGAAGCGGAUUAAAGUAGUCACGGCGAGAAAGGACAGUGGAAUGGACCAACACCCUAGUCGCAUCUAGUGUUAAGUAGGGCGGAUGCGCACAAUGUUUGUGAGAUGGAAAUGAC